GUGCACCAGUCGCGAAUACUCCACAAUGCGCGAAAGCGUGAUGGGGCCAUCCCGAGUGCCGUCCGCUGAGGACGGCUUUUCCCCGGUGUACACAGCCGGGGGAAUAAGGAGAGGGCAAGCCUGGUGUCAGCCGCCGCGGUAAUACCAGCUCUCCGAGUGGUGGGGACGAUUAUUGGGCCUAAAGCGUCCGUAGCCGGCUCGGCAUGUCUCCCCGUUAAAUCCAACGAUCCAAUCGUUGGACUGCGGGAGAUACUGUCGGGCUAGGGGGCGGGAGAGGUCGGCGGUAUUCCCGGGGUAGGGGUGAAAUCCGUAUAAUCCCCGGGAGGACCACCAGUGGCGAAGGCUGUCGGCUAGAACGCGCCCGACGGUGAGGGGAUGGAAACGCUGGGGGGAGCGGAACCGGAUUAGAUACCCGUGUAGU
This 421-nucleotide ribosomal RNA is filed under the name uncultured microorganism. Its description in RNAcentral is "bacterial SSU rRNA". It matches the Rfam family "Archaeal small subunit ribosomal RNA", at positions 330 to 745 of the family's 1478-position model. The record is from RNAcentral.